AUGAAGCCCCCCUCAAGAUGAGAUUUCCCAUAGCGUAAGCUAGUAAGAUCCCUGAAAGAUGAUCAGGUUGAUAGGUUCGAGGUGGAAGCAUGGUGACAUGUGGAGCUGACGAAUACUAAUAGAUCGAGGACUUAACCA
This 138-nucleotide ribosomal RNA is filed under the name Bacillus sp. ok061. RNAcentral describes it as "23S rRNA. Bacterial LSU". It matches the Rfam family "Bacterial large subunit ribosomal RNA", at positions 2787 to 2925 of the family's 2925-position model. The record is from RNAcentral. Lineage: Bacteria; Bacillati; Bacillota; Bacilli; Caryophanales; Bacillaceae.